AUGCAAACAUGAAAGCUAAACCGUAAGGCGGGGAUUCUAUUCGAUGUUCCAAUCCCAAAACAGCAUUCAGCUGCUGGAUAUCUUAUCGAAUCAGCAACACAGCGUGCUCUUACAGAAGCAAGGCCAUAAGAAAAAGCUUGUAUCAGAACACUUUUAGGUGCUUUGCUUCUUUUUGUUGUUUUGUCAGUCUGAAAUCUUAACUGGAAAUGCAGAAACUCCAUUCUUACUGUUAAGGGUGAAUGAGUUAACUGGAGGCACGUCACUUGCAGCAAGUAUCCUUUCUCUAUAGGUUCCCUUAGUGUCUAAUCACUUUUAAGUAGUUCAGAAGUUUAUAUCUGUAUCCAAUCCAAACCCUUUCAGAAACAGCAAUGUCUCAGCAUUGUAAAUCUUGAGUUCUCCUUGUCACAGUUUCAGAUAUUGCGCUUGUGAAAAACAAUGCCCUGAUCGGUUUUCAGAUUGCAGUAGCACUUUCUCAGCUGUUGUGAGCUUCCUUAUCAACCUCAAGCUCAGACUCAGGUUCAUGAUUCAGGACUGAUCAAAGAUGUUUUAGAUUGGUAGUUAUCCAGUGUGUUUUAAUGUUGCUUAUGAAAGAUUGUUUCCAUAGCCAAAGAAACUCCUUUUAAUAUAUUUUUGCACAUGUUAUAUGAAUAUUUUUAUAUCAUGUGGAACCCCACCUGUCUCUGCAACGUUCCCUAAAGAAUUAUUAAUUAUAUAUACAUAUCCCAAAGGAUCUAAGGAUAGAUAUGCUCUGGAGAGUAUAUCUAUAAUAUAACUAUUUUUGCUUCACUUUAAGCUCUCUCUACAGUUUUUGGACAACAAUGGCUGCAAUCACCGUUGACUUUCAGCUCUGCUUCAUCUUCAUCUUCUUAUGGCUCCUCACACGCUUCUGCCUCUCUGCUUUCUUCUUCAAGAAACCAAAAGAUCUACCUCCGAGUCCACCAUCUCUACCGAUCAUUGGUCAUCUGCACCAUCUCCUCUCUGUUCCAGUUCACAAAUCAUUUCAGAAAGUCUCUUCCAAGUAUGGUCCUCUCCUUCACCUCCGUGCCUUUACUGUCCCAAUCGUUCUUGUCUCAUCUGGCUCCAUGGCCUAUGAAGUUUUGAGGACCCAGGGCCUGAACUUUGCUACCCGUGACCGUGAGGUUCCUACAAUGGAAAAAUCAUUACUGUUUGGAUCUUUUGGCUUUCUCUCAGCGCCUUAUGGAGAUUACUGGAAGUUCAUGAAGAAAAUAUUAGUCACAAAACUUCUUGGGCCUCAUUCUCUCGAGCGGACACGGCUCAUUCGUGGGGAAGAACUUAAGACAUUCCGUGCUAUUCUGUUUGACAAGGCGGCAAAGAAUGAUGCUGUUGAUGUUGGUGAAGAGAUGAUGAAACUGACGAAUAACUCCAUUUGCAGGAUGAUCAUGGGAAGGAAGUGUUCUGAGGAGGACGGUGAAGCAGAGCAAAUCAGAAGCUUGGUGACUAAGUCAGUUAGUUUGGCGAAGAAGUUCCUUAUAGCUACCACAGUUGGUCGACUUCUCAAGAAGGUUGGGAUCUCACUGUUUGAGAAGGAAAUCAUGGAGGUCUCAGAGAGGUACGAUGAAUUGCUGGAGAAGAUUAUUAAGGAACAUGAGAAGAGUCCUAACCAGAAAGAGGACAGAGACAUGAUGGAUGUUCUGUUGGAAGUUUGUGCAGAUGAAAAUGCUGAGUUUAAGAUUUCCAGGAACCAGAUCAAAGCGCUUUUUGUGGAACUUUUCAUUGGAGGCACUGAUACUUCAGCAGAAACAACACAGUGGAUAAUGGCGGAACUGAUUAACCACCCUGAGAUUCUUAAAACUCUGAGAGAAGAGAUUGAAUCUGUUGUCGGGAAAACAAGGUUGAUUCAAGAAACAGAUCUCUCAGGCCUUCCUUAUUUGCAGGCUGUAGUGAAGGAAGGGCUAAGACUACACCCGCAUGGGCCAGUCUUGGUGAGGACUGCAACGGAAGGAUGCAAGAUCGGAGGGUUUUACAUACCACAGAACACUACUAUUCUCAUAAACGCUUAUGCGGUGAUGAGAGAUCCGGAUUCAUGGGAAGAACCAGAAAAGUUUCAACCGGAGAGGUUCAUGGUUUCUCCUUCAAAGGGGGAAAAAGAGAUGAGAGAGCAGUUAGCUUUGAACUACCUUCCUUUUGGGAGCGGAAGAAGAGGAUGCCCUGGAUCAAACUUAGCUUAUAUCUUCAUUGGGGUAGCCAUUGGAACGAUGGUGCAGUGUUUUGACUGGAUUGUUAAUGAUAAUAAGGUGAACAUGGAAGAGGCUGGAGAUAUGACCUUGCGUAUGGCUCAUCCACUUAAAUGCACUCUUGUUGCUCGAAUUGACCCUUCUGGUUGAUGGUUGAGUUUGAUAUGUCCUGUUGAAGUUGCAGACAUACAUCAUGUCUGUAAGUCGGAAAAGUUGCAGAUAGCAAGAAAUGCCAAAGACGUCGAAGGAAGAAUAGUUGCACAUUUUAGAUUUGUCUACUUUAACUUAUCAUUACACUUUCACUACCUACCUGCUACUUCUGAUGAUGAUACACUUGUUCUUCCAGCUUCCGAAGAAGGCUCUACUGCCAUAGAAAACACAGGAGCUUUUGCUCUUUAUCGUUGCUGGGAGGAGCUUGAGUUCUCUGACUUGAAAGGGAGUUUCAUCUUAUCCAGUGAUUCAUUGAACUGGUGCAAGAUUUGGGGUAGCCAUUUGGUACAAUGGUACAGUGUUUUGACUAUAGUAUCAAUGGCGACAAGGUUAACAAACAAGAGUCUUCUCCUUGCACUGUUUAUAACAGAACUUGUUGUCUUUGUGUCUUAGGCAUCUGUUAAAUAAACUCGUUUAAGUACAGGACAAGGUGCGAGAUUUUAGUAAUAAAUUAGGAAACAGUUGCAGAUAACACUUUAGAUAAGUCUUCUUUCAACUUAUUAUUACACUUUUAUUAGUUCCUAAACCUGAUGCUUCCAAAGCUUCAAAAGAAGGCUUUACUGCCAUAGAAAAUACGGGAGUUGGUACUCUUUGGAGUGUGGUGGGAGGAGCUUGAGUUCUCCUUAUAGAUACUGAUUUGUAGUUAACAGGUCUGAACGAAGAAGAACUAGAACGUCUUGCAUCUCUUGGGAAAAGUGUCCAAAAGACCGCAGGCAGGGACAUACCACAUGUUGUGAGUUACUCUAUGCUUCUUAUAGACGCACACGUUAUUUACUUUCAGUCCACGCAGACUGUUUUCGUUCUUCCAUAUAUUACAUGCAUUGUUUUGCUUCAGGUGGCAACAAGAGCAAAUGGUGCAACUACAGUCUCUGCAACUUUGUUUUUCGUUAGUAACAUUGCUAUCAUUUAGACUCAUUUCAUCUAAAGCCUUUGUUUGUUAUAGGUUUGGCAUCCAAGUUUUUGUAACCGGUGGGAUAGGAGGUGUGCAUAGGCAUGCCAACGACCUAUGGACAUAUCACCUGAUCUUACUGCAUUCAGAAGAACUCUAUCGAGGGUUCGAAUCCCUCUCUCUCCUUUUGUUGGAUGAAUAGAUUUUUUUAUUUAUUGGCUUUUUUACUUCUUAGCAUCAUAAAAUGCUGAAAUUGAAUUGACGAACAACCAACAGCAAUAUUACUAUUUUAGUCGUCUUGAAUAAAAAUAAAAAUGGGGCAUAGCCAAGCGGUAAGGCAACGGGUUUUGGUCCCGCUAUUCGGAGGUUCGAAUCCUUCCGUCCCAGAGUCCAGUCAUUACGAAAUCCUAUAGCAGUGAUAUUAGCAGCCAAAGACUGGUAUAUCAUCCCUUGUCAAUGCAUAUUAGUCAACAAUUAAGAGUUAAAAGUUUUCAUCAGAGCCAUUCGUUGACAAUGCAGGAAACUCAAGAAGCUGAUAUUAUCGAUAUAAGUUUUCAUCUUAUCGAAUCAACAACACAGCGUGCUCUUACAGAAGCAAGGUCACCCAAAGAUCUUUGUGUGACCUUGCUUCUAGAAGCUGAUACUUUCCAAACAUGCUUGCAUCAAAGUACUUGAAGUAUUUGCUUAUUUUAUUGUCUGAAAUCAGAAUUUGGUUAUGGCCAGGGAACAAAAUGUUACUGGAAAUGCAGGACCAUACUUACUUGCACGAGUAAAUGAGUUAACUGGAGACACGUCACUUACCGCAAGUAUCCUUUCUUCAGAGGUUCAGAAACUUGUAUAUAUAUUGCUCUUGUGAAAAUCAAUGCCCUUAUUGGUUCUCAGAUUGCAGUAGCGCUUUAUCAGCUGACGUGAGCUUCCUUAUCAACCUCAAGCUCAAACUCAGGUUCUUGAUUCAGGACAGAUCAAAGAUGUUUUAGAUUGAUAGUUAUCCAGUGUGUUUUAAUGCUGUUUGUGAAAGAUUUGUUUCUUGAACCCAAAAAACUCUUUUUAACAUAUGUUCACAUGUGGAACCUGAUC
Molecule: RNA transcript, 4371 nt
Organism: Raphanus sativus (radish)
Lineage: Eukaryota; Viridiplantae; Streptophyta; Magnoliopsida; Brassicales; Brassicaceae
Gene name: cytochrome P450 705A22-like
Exons: 5
Source: RefSeq, a predicted model, not a curated record